Molecule: ribosomal RNA, 250 nt
Filed under: uncultured Agaricomycetes
Lineage: Eukaryota; Fungi; Basidiomycota; Agaricomycetes
Description: partial small subunit ribosomal RNA
Rfam family: Eukaryotic small subunit ribosomal RNA
Source: RNAcentral
AGCUCCAAUAGCGUAUAUUAAAGUUGUUGCAGUUAAAAAGCUCGUAGUUGAACUUCAGACCUGGCCGGGCGGUCUGCUUAACGGCAUGUACUGUCUGGCUGGGUCUUACCUCUUGGUGAGCCGGCGUGCCCUUCAUUGGCGUGCGUCGGGGAACCAGGACUUUUACCUUGAGAAAAUUAGAGUGUUCAAAGCAGGCCUAUGCCUGAAUACAUUAGCAUGGAAUAAUAAAAUAGGACGCGCGGUUCUAUUU